GUAGGUGGCAAGCGUUGUCCGGAAUUAUUGGGCGUAAAGCGCGCGCAGGCGGUCCUUUAAGUCUGAUGUGAAAGCCCACGGCUCAACCGUGGAGGGUCAUUGGAAACUGGGGGACUUGAGUACAGAAGAGGAAAGCGGAAUUCCAAGUGUAGCGGUGAAAUGCGUAGAGAUUUGGAGGAACACCAGUGGCGAAGGCGGCUUUCUGGUCUGUAACCGACGCUGAGGCGCGAAAGCGUGGGGAGCAAACAGGAUUAGAUACCCUGGUAGUCCACGCCGUAAACGAUGAGUGCUAAGUGUUAGGGGGUUUCCGCCCCUUAGUGCUGCAGCUAACGCAUUAAGCACUCCGCCUGGGGAGUACGGCCGCAAAGGCUG
RNAcentral lists this ribosomal RNA (372 nucleotides) under uncultured organism. RNAcentral describes it as "partial 16S ribosomal RNA". It matches the Rfam family "Bacterial small subunit ribosomal RNA", at positions 527 to 896 of the family's 1533-position model. The record is from RNAcentral.